This 496-nucleotide ribosomal RNA is filed under the name uncultured bacterium. RNAcentral's name for it is "partial 16S ribosomal RNA". It matches the Rfam family "Bacterial small subunit ribosomal RNA", at positions 28 to 507 of the family's 1533-position model. The record is from RNAcentral.
GAUGAACGCUGGCGGCGUGCCUAAACAUGCCAGGCGAACGAACGGAAGAGAAACUUGCUUCCCUGAUGUUAAGGGCGGGCGGGGGAGUAACACGUUGAAAACCUACCUAUAAGACUGGGAAAAACUUGGGAAAACGGAGCUAAAACCGGAAGAUAAUUUUAAACGCAUGGGUUAAAAGUGAAAAACGGUCUUGCCGGCACUUAUAGAUGGAACCGCGCCGCAUUAGCUAGUUGGUAAGGUAACGGCUUACCAAGGCAACGAUGCAUAGCCGACCUGAGAGGGUGAUCGGCCACACUGGAACUGAGACACGGUCCAGACUCCUACGGGAGGCAGCAGUAGGGAAUCUUCCGCAAUGGGCGAAAGCCUGACGGAGCAACGCCGCGUGAGUGAUGAAGGUCUUCGGAUCGUAAAGCUCUGUUAUUAGGUAAGAACAUAUGUGUAAGUAACUGUGCAUAUCUUGACGGUACCUAAUCAGAAAGCCACGGCUAACUACGUG